Molecule: ribosomal RNA, 426 nt
Filed under: uncultured bacterium
Lineage: Bacteria
Description: bacterial SSU rRNA
Rfam family: Bacterial small subunit ribosomal RNA
Source: RNAcentral
GGGGAAUAUUGGGCAAUGGGCGAAAGCCUGACCCAGCGACGCCGCGUGGGCGAUGAAGGCCUUCGGGUUGUAAAGCCCUGUCAUGCGGAAAGAACGACCCUGUGACGCAUACUCACAGGGAGUGACGGUACCGCAGGAGGAAGCACCGGCUAACUCCGUGCCAGCAGCCGCGGUAAUACGGAGGGUGCAAGCGUUGUUCGGAAUUAUUGGGCGUAAAGGGCGCGUAGGCGGUAAUGUAAGUCAGAUGUGAAAUACUCCGGCUCAACCAGAGAAUUGCAUCUGAAACUGCAUAACUAGAGUACAGAAGAGGGAAACGGAAUUCCCGGUGUAGAGGUGAAAUUCGUAGAUAUCGGGAGGAACACCAGUGGCGAAGGCGGUUUCCUGGUCUGAUACUGACGCUGAGGCGCGAAAGCGUGGGGAGCAAAC